RNAcentral lists this ribosomal RNA (270 nucleotides) under uncultured archaeon. RNAcentral's name for it is "partial 16S ribosomal RNA". It matches the Rfam family "Archaeal small subunit ribosomal RNA", at positions 477 to 747 of the family's 1478-position model. The record is from RNAcentral.
CAGCACCUCAAGUGGUCAGGAUGAUUAUUGGGCCUAAAGCAUCCGUAGCCGGCGCUGUAAGUUUUCGGUUAAAUCUGUACGCUCAACGUACAGGCUGCCGGGAAUGCUGCAGCGCUAGGGAGUGGGAGAGGUAGACGGUACUCGGUAGGAAGGGGUAAAAUCCUUUGAUCUAUUGAUGACCACCUGUGGCGAAGGCGGUCUACCAGAACACGUCCGACGGUGAGGGAUGAAAGAUGGGGGAGCAAACCGGAUUAGAUACCCGCGUAGUCC